Molecule: transfer RNA, 69 nt
Filed under: Ictidomys tridecemlineatus (thirteen-lined ground squirrel)
Lineage: Eukaryota; Metazoa; Chordata; Mammalia; Rodentia; Sciuridae
Description: Spermophilus tridecemlineatus (thirteen-lined ground squirrel) tRNA
Rfam family: tRNA
About the family: Transfer RNA (tRNA) molecules are approximately 80 nucleotides in length. Their secondary structure includes four short double-helical elements and three loops (D, anti-codon, and T loops).
Source: Rfam by way of RNAcentral
GGGAUUGUGGCUCAGCGGUAGAGCGCUCGUCUAGCACGUGUGAGGUCCUGGGUUUGAUCCUCAGCCCCA